Molecule: unclassified non-coding RNA, 307 nt
Filed under: Hevea brasiliensis (rubber tree)
Lineage: Eukaryota; Viridiplantae; Streptophyta; Magnoliopsida; Malpighiales; Euphorbiaceae
Source: RNAcentral
GGAAGCGUCCAUAUGGCGUUGGUCUGCUGGUUGGUGGUCUGGAUGAGUCUGGGGCUCAUCUUUACUACAACUGCCCGAGUGGAAAUUACUUUGAGUAUCAAGCUUUUGCCAUAGGAUCCCGUUCACAGGCUGCAAAGACAUACUUGGAAAGGAGGUUUGAAAACUUCAAGGACUCCUCUAGAGAUGAGUUGAUCAAAGAUGCACUGAUCGCUACCAGAGAAACCUUGCAAGGAGAAAAACUGACUUCCUCCAUAUGCACAAUUGCCAUUUUAGGAGUUGGGGAACCUUUUCAUAUAUUGGAUAGGGA